GUGAGCCAAGAUCACUCUGGGCAACACAGCAAGACUCUAGGUCAAACAGUAAAUAAAAACAUAAAAUAAAUUUCAUUUGAUGAAAGGUUUUAUGGAUAGAAAAACAUAUAACGGGGAAAUAUUAUUAUAUAUAUAAUCAUCAACAGAAACACGUCUUCUAAUAGCGUAUUGGCUUGCAUUUUAGUUCUCAUAUUUUUGCUAAAAGGCAAGAAAUGAAAACAAGAAAGUGCCCUUAUGGUACUGUUCUCAACUAGAAGAUUUUAAUUUCAGGGCCUCUAGGAGAGUUUCCUCUGUACCCUUUUUAAAAAAUGUCUUCAGGUCUAACAAACUUCUAUUGUUACGAAUGUUUUUCCUUCCACAGUGUGGCCUUGGAGAUAUAUUAUCAUAUCCGGCAAAGAGGGGCAGAUAAAACUUUGGACGUAUUUGAUGAAUGAUCACACCCAUUUACACAAGACCAGCUUCCGGAGGAACACUUUAUGUAUGAUCCUAGACAGAAAGUGAUUUUCAGAUUUGUUCGUACUCUGUUUAAAACCAAAAAGCUAAGAGCUGAGUUAGCAAUCGUUAGUUUGGU
Cebus imitator (Panamanian white-faced capuchin) is the source of this 571-nucleotide long non-coding RNA. RefSeq lists it as uncharacterized. Lineage: Eukaryota; Metazoa; Chordata; Mammalia; Primates; Cebidae. The record is from RefSeq and is a predicted model, not a curated record. The transcript is spliced from 3 exons.